UAAGAGUUUGAUUCUUGCUUAUUUUUUAGUUUUUUAAAUGAAUUAUAUGUUUUUUUUUAAAUUUUUGUUUAGAACAGUAAUUAGAAUUAUUUAUAAUAAUGAUUUAUUUAUAGUAAUUUAAUUAGGUUAGAUGAAUGUUGUGCCAGCAUUCGCGGUUAUACAACUUAACCAUUUUAAAUUUUUUGUAUUGUAGAAUUUUUUAAGUGUUAUAUAGUCUCAAUAUUUUCUUAUUUAGGUGGAAUUUUUAUUUUAAGGUUAGUUUAUAUUUAAAUUUUUUUAAUUUUUAGUAAUAAACUAGGAUUAGAUACCCUAUUAUUUAAAUAAUAUAUUUUUAUUCUGAAUAUUAGUAGUGUAAUUUCUAUUAAACUCAAAGAAUUUGGCGGUAACUUAUUCUUUCCAGAGGAAUCUGUAUUAUAAUUGAUAAACCACGAUAUUUUUUACUUAGUUGUUGUUUGUAUAUCUCUAUUUGUAGGAAUGUUUUAUCAGGAUAAUUUUCUUUUUUUAGUUUAAAUGUAUGUUAGGUCAAGGUGCAGUUUUAGUUAAGUAAAUAUGGAUUACUUUAGUUUUUAUAAUUUAGUUGGGCGGGUUAAUUUAUUAUUUUCUUUUACAUAGGAUUUGGUAGUAAAUUUAACUAAUUUGUUAUUUUGAAUUUUGCUCUAAGUUAUGUACAUAUCGCCCGUCGUUCCCUUUUAAAUGGGACAAGUCGUAACAAAGUAGAUCUACCGGAAGGUAGAUCUAGAAUGAUUUU
This 748-nucleotide non-coding RNA is filed under the name Concaveplana rufolineata. Lineage: Eukaryota; Metazoa; Arthropoda; Insecta; Hemiptera; Cicadellidae. The record is from RNAcentral.